GCUAAUAGCGGUUCAGCACCAAAUCUUGGAUGAUUUCAUAAUAUGGAAACAAGACCAGACUGGAAAAACUACAGCAGAGAAAAGCCAUUUCACUUUGGAUCUUCUGUGACUAUUUGGUGUAGUGAUGUUUAGUAAGAUUUAAGGUACUGAAAGAUGUCCAGUGCAAUAAUUCAAGAUUUGAAUAAGCGUAUUACUAGCAACAAAGCAGAGCUCCUUGCCUGAGACCCAUGACAAAGAUACAGUGUGCAGCCUGAAGAACAGGUUGGAACUCAGACCAAGGAAUGGUUUUUAUCUCCAUGAAAAAAAAAAGGCAUGUCUUCGUGAUGGUUGGAAACAAAACCUUUUCAUAUUUGUACAGGAAGGUGCUACCCGCAGACUUCAUAAGUCAGCAGAUCGACUCUGUCUGGUCUAGAGAAUGUCUAGAACAUGGAUAUCCAUCAUCUCAUCAUUAUUAUGAAAAUGCUUUGAGUGGUAUCAGGAGUGGGGUGGAUGUGCUAUCAAGACCUGCAGUCCACAGAGCAGUGCACUGUUGUACAGUUCUAGGGCUCCAUCACCCACCCCCUCCUCCUCCUCAGCGUCGCCAGCACUACCCAACACCGUCAUUCAAAAAGACACUCUUAAAUAUCUGCAAGUUUUCUCAACAGUGUGAAAUGCUGAAGGAAAAGAGAUGA
Molecule: long non-coding RNA, 671 nt
Filed under: Numida meleagris (helmeted guineafowl)
Lineage: Eukaryota; Metazoa; Chordata; Aves; Galliformes; Numididae
Description: lncRNA (ENSNMEG00000007018.1)
Source: RNAcentral